GUUUGCAUCAUCUUGACCCCUGUGCAAUUAGAACAAGUGGUUUAUUGCCGCCCCCAGGCCUGGCCAGGACCUGGGGUAGGGGGAGGCAUGCUGGCAUAGAGCCGGUGAUAGCAGACCUUGGAUGCCAGCGGCCUCCUACCUCCUUCCCUACUGCUGUUUGUCUUCAGGCAAGUUACUUAACCAUUCAGGGCCCCAGUGUCCUCAUUUGCAAAGUGCUGCUGGUAAUAACAUGUCUGGCAUACAGGAAGCACUCAAGAAAUGCUGGCUCUGACUGUAAUCGCCCUGGCUAUUUUCUGCUUGCUGUUGCCUGACACCUGGGGGCUUUCUCUGUGGUCCGACGCUGUGUCAAGCUCUGCACCGGCCAUGAGUAUGCAGCCAAGAUCAUCAACACCAAGAAGCUGUCAGCCAGAGAUCACCAGAAGCUGGAGAGAGAGGCUCGGAUCUGCCGCCUUCUGAAGCAUUCCAACAUCGUGCGUCUCCACGACAGCAUCUCCGAGGAGGGCUUCCACUACCUGGUCUUCGAUCUGGUCACUGGUGGGGAGCUCUUUGAAGACAUUGUGGCGAGAGAGUACUACAGCGAGGCUGAUGCCAGUCACUGUAUCCAGCAGAUCCUGGAGGCCGUUCUCCAUUGUCACCAAAUGGGGGUCGUCCACAGAGACCUCAAGCCGGAGAACCUGCUCCUGGCCAGCAAGUGCAAAGGGGCUGCAGUGAAGCUGGCAGACUUCGGCCUAGCUAUCGAGGUUCAGGGGGACCAGCAGGCAUGGUUUGGUUUCGCUGGCACACCAGGCUACCUGUCCCCUGAGGUCCUUCGCAAAGAGGCGUAUGGCAAGCCCGUGGACAUCUGGGCAUGUGGGGUGAUCCUGUACAUCCUGCUUGUGGGCUACCCACCCUUCUGGGACGAGGACCAGCACAAGCUGUACCAGCAGAUCAAGGCUGGUGCCUAUGACUUCCCGUCCCCUGAGUGGGACACCGUCACUCCUGAAGCCAAAAACCUCAUCAACCAGAUGCUGACCAUCAACCCUGCCAAGCGCAUCACAGCCCAUGAGGCCCUGAAGCACCCGUGGGUCUGCCAACGCUCCACGGUAGCAUCCAUGAUGCACAGACAGGAGACUGUGGAGUGUCUGAAAAAGUUCAAUGCCAGGAGAAAGCUCAAGGGAGCCAUCCUCACCACCAUGCUGGCCACACGGAAUUUCUCAGUGGGCAGACAGACCACCGCUCCGGCCACAAUGUCCACCGCGGCCUCCGGCACCACCAUGGGGCUGGUGGAACAAGCCAAGAGUUUACUCAACAAGAAAGCAGAUGGAGUCAAGCCCCAGACGAAUAGCACCAAAAACAGUGCAGCCGCCACCAGCCCCAAAGGGACGCUUCCUCCUGCCGCCCUGGAGCCUCAAACCACCGUCAUCCAUAACCCAGUGGACGGGAUUAAGGAGUCUUCUGACAGUGCCAAUACCACCAUAGAGGAUGAAGACGCUAAAGCCCGGAAGCAGGAGAUCAUUAAGACCACGGAGCAGCUCAUCGAGGCCGUCAACAACGGUGACUUUGAGGCCUACGCGAAAAUCUGUGACCCAGGGCUGACCUCGUUUGAGCCUGAAGCACUGGGCAACCUGGUUGAAGGGAUGGACUUCCACAGAUUCUACUUCGAGAACCUGCUGGCCAAGAACAGCAAGCCGAUCCACACGACCAUCCUGAACCCACACGUGCACGUCAUUGGAGAGGAUGCCGCCUGCAUCGCUUACAUCCGGCUCACGCAGUACAUUGACGGGCAGGGCCGGCCCCGCACCAGCCAGUCUGAGGAGACCCGCGUGUGGCACCGCCGCGACGGCAAGUGGCAGAACGUGCACUUCCACUGCUCGGGCGCGCCUGUGGCCCCGCUGCAGUGAAGUGCCGCAUGGCAGACAGCAGAGCCUGGGGGUGGACGGGAGAGGGGGCUGCUGAGGAGCUGACCCACCCGCCCCAUUUCAGAGCUGCGCCCUGGUUUCGCCGGACAGAGUUGGUGUUUGGAGCCCGACUGCCCUCGGGCACACGGCCUGCCUGUCGCAUGUUUGUGUCUGCCUCGUUCCCUCCCCUGGUGCCUGUGUCUGCAGAAAAACAAGACCAGAUGUGAUUUGUUAAAAAAAAAAAAAAAAAAAA
This 2130-nucleotide small RNA is filed under the name Pan troglodytes (chimpanzee). RNAcentral's name for it is "processed transcript". The record is from RNAcentral. Lineage: Eukaryota; Metazoa; Chordata; Mammalia; Primates; Hominidae.